GAGAAGGUCAUUAAGAGAGAACAUUAGGAAAUGACAAAAUAUUACUCGAGAAGCCAGGGCUACACUGACACUAGUUAGCACAACGGUCCAGAAAAGAAGCAGACCCUCAUGCGGUCUUAAGUAGUGAGGAGAAAGUUACUCACGAUGAGAAGCCAGUGGGUGAUUAAUGUGGAUGAGCAACAGUGAACUUUAUAGGCGAGGUCAGAGGCAGGGACCUUAGUCCAGCUCCGCCCUGUCGAGAGAGAGAUGAAGGCAGCAAAAACACAACACAUCCUACAGAUCCUGGGGACCAUGACAGUUUAGGCCAAAAACACAUGUUGUUAGUAUCUGAACAGAUAAAUGACUGUUUCAUGAGUAAAAAUGAUAUGUCACUUUUUUGUUUUUCUAGUAAAAUAACAAUGUGAUUCCAUUAUCGUUAAAAAAAAAUAGCAUAAUCUGUUCUAUACAAAAGGAUAUACUUAAAAUGGAAAUUAGGGAAAGUGUUUUUAAGAAAGGGAAAUGCAUAAGAGAAAAUUCAAUCAAGAAAAACUAAGUUUACUUUUCGAGAAAACACCUCAGAGAGUUUUCUGGUAAGAGAGAAUCAUCAAUCAUGAGUGGCUGGAAAUUUUCUGCCUUGUUCACAGUGCACUGAGAGUUGAAGCUGCAGGCUAAUGUGCCACCAGACUGUUGCUGCUAUUCCAAAGGCAAAAAAAUAAAAAAUAAAAAUCCCCCCAAAAUACUAGAUCCUACCUUCCCACUUCCACACAAUCAUUUUCCGCCCGGAAACAGAACAGGUGGCUCAUGGCUCCCUGGAGACACGGUGACAACCAGGAAAACAAAUGUUGAGUCGAAUUGAGUGGUAGAGUCUGGCUUGCAAAUAAAUAUGCUUGGGCUUAAUUUUCAUGAUCAAUGAAUGGUUUAGGGGGGAAAUCUGCCUGUAAAAGGGUAAAAAGCCUGGUACAUAACACAAGGUAUUUCCCAUUUGAACACCAAGUGGCUGUAGCUACAAACUGUGUACACUUGGCAUCCCCUAACCCCCUCACUGAUACUGUUGUACAUGCUGCAAGUCCCCUAGGAGACAGUUGUGUUCGGGGCCGUGUUUACUUUGUGAAGAAUACUUCCAAAGUCUAGCUACAUCAAUACUAUACAGGCUCAUUUGCAAAACAUAUGAGACAGGCAACCUG
This is a long non-coding RNA of Astatotilapia calliptera (eastern happy), 1163 nucleotides long. Lineage: Eukaryota; Metazoa; Chordata; Actinopteri; Cichliformes; Cichlidae. The record is from Ensembl.